CAUGAGUCAACAGAAUCUGGCUGUUGUGAAAAUGUUGAAUGUCAACACAGUGUUUACACAGAACUGUAACUUAUAAAGUGUAUGAAGCAAUCAUUCAGCUGCACUCAGCACUAGUAAGGCCUCAGAUAGACCAGUGUGUCAAAUGUUGAGCAAUUUGCUUCCUCUUCAAGGGAAAUGUGGUGCAGCUGGACAGCAGCCAAGCAGAGAGAAUCAAGCAGAGAGAAUUGGAAGAACCUGUCCCGUCCUCACAGAUUAUGUGGUAUUCAGUGUGAACAUUAGGAGACCAAAGAGAACACAGAAAUUAAGUUUUCUGGUGAAGAGAGGUUGGACCUCAAAAGGAAAGUGAACUGAGGCUUUGAUUAGAAGAGCCACAGAAAAAGAAAUGAAGAAUGAUUGUGGAGAGCCAUAAGUAUAUGUUGAAAACUUACAGGGUAACUGCUGCCAAGCAGGUUGUGAUACAUUUUAAAUUCCAGAUAUAGAUAGACUUGCAUGUGCACAUGCAAAACACACUUGUUUCUAUAUAACUUUUAAAAGGUAGGAAAUGCAAGAAACCCUCAAAAGCACAAAUUUGUGAUAAGUGGCAAAUGUUCUACUUGAGCAACUGCUUUACCCCUUGGCAUGAUCAUAGAGAAUUGAUUCUGCUCUCUUAAAAACAACAGCUGUUCACUGCUGAAGGCUAUUUCAGCUCAAUCAGUACUGGUGCACUGGCCACAAAAGCCAGAAACAAAGGCGACCAGGCACCAAAUUCUCUCAAAUGUACAAAGAAAACAAUAUCAGAAAUGGGUGGUGUUACUGAAAAUAGCAAGCAUGGUCUUUUCAGGAAAAUAGGAUUUGUGAGGUAAAGGUUGCUUGGCAGUGAGUCAGAGGAGCUUCUCCUUGGCAUCUGCAGCAUCUGUCUUUUCUUUAGGCAGUGACAUUUCAUGGCAGGAACAGGUGUAGAUAAGAGUAGUGUUUUAGGGCUUGUGCUGAUAGCACAAAAUGAGCAGAAACAUCAGAACAGGCAGGAAAAAAAUACAGAAAAAGGCCAUACAAAAAUGAAACACAUUUCAUGCCUGAAAGGCUGGACUUUCAAGUGUGGAUGAAGCCACAAGUGAUGUGGCAUACCGCUCCAAGCAUCUUCUCCAGUUACUCCUGGCUGGCAUAAGAUCAGGAGUGCAAAGCACCACUUAGUGCUGAAUUUGGCUAAACUGAACACUGGGUGAGGUGGAAGGAACUGCAGAACAAAUUCUUUAUUAUUCUAUUCUGUAUUCACCCCAUCAGUGUGAUUCCCUGCUGUGGGGCAGGAGCUGGUGUGGAAAGGCAUCUCUCCAGAGAGGGC
Molecule: long non-coding RNA, 1318 nt
Filed under: Zonotrichia albicollis (white-throated sparrow)
Lineage: Eukaryota; Metazoa; Chordata; Aves; Passeriformes; Passerellidae
Description: lncRNA (ENSZALG00000003008.1)
Source: RNAcentral